GAUGAACGCUGGCGGCGUGCCUAAUACAUGCAAGUCGAGCGAACAGACGAGGAGCUUGCUCCUCUGACGUUAGCGGCGGACGGGUGAGUAACACGUGGAUAACCUACCUAUAAGACUGGGGUAACUUCGGGAAACCGGAGCUAAUACCGGAUAAUAUAUUGAACCGCAUGGUUCAAUAGUGAAAGACGGUUUUGCUGUCACUUAUAGAUGGAUCCGCGCCGCAUUAGCUAGUUGGUAAGGUAACAGCUUACCAAGGCAACGAUGCGUAGCCGACCUGAGAGGGUGAUCGGCCACACUGGAACUGAGACACGGUCCAGACUCCUACGGGAGGCAGCAGUAGGGAAUCUUCCGCAAUGGGCGAAAGCCUGACGGAGCAACGCCGCGUGAGUGAUGAAGGUCUUCGGAUCGUAAAACUCUGUUAUUAGGGAAGAACAAAUGUGUAAGUAACUAUGCACGUCUUGACGGUACCUAAUCAGAAAGCCACGGCUAACUACGUG
Molecule: ribosomal RNA, 497 nt
Filed under: uncultured bacterium
Lineage: Bacteria
Description: partial 16S ribosomal RNA
Rfam family: Bacterial small subunit ribosomal RNA
Source: RNAcentral